Molecule: long non-coding RNA, 1829 nt
Organism: Felis catus (domestic cat)
Lineage: Eukaryota; Metazoa; Chordata; Mammalia; Carnivora; Felidae
Exons: 11
Source: RefSeq, a predicted model, not a curated record
GCCGCUCCCUCCCACGCUGCCAGCUGAUCGACUGUUUUUGCAACACCAGGGUUUGUUGACAGGCGGAAGAUUUAUCCUCUCCGCUCUCCUUCCUGACUCAGAAGAGAUUGCGGACCUGGAAGCUGCAGUGCCUCUGGGUCACUUGGUAAUUUAAAAUUGAUGACUUGGAAAGAGAAUGGAGAUAAAGAUGCUGUCCUGGGAUGUGUCCUUUUAUAGAGAGCGUUUGAGGACUUUGACCUGUGCGUGUCUGGACCGGCAUGUUGGCUGGCUGGGUGUUGAGCAAUGGACGUGGCCCCCACAGGGAGUCGGUGCCUAACAGGAGAAUUUGGCCUUCCGCAAUACCGGGGACAUGCUGAAUGCCCACUGAAGGACUUCCCAUGAGUUACCAUUCCUGGGGCCACCAUCAAGCCCUGGGGGACAAGAGCCCGUGGAUAAAUACUCCAGCUUGUCAGGUGGACGAUUCUGGAAGGUCUUCUAUGGGCCGUUUGGUGGUCUUCAUGGAAUCGAGUCACUAACCUUGGGCAACCAUGCCGUGAGGAAGCGCAAGCUAUGCAAAUGGACAGGCCGUGUGGGGAGAUGGCUGGUGGCCCCGGUGUUCUGUCUCCCAGUCAACUCAUCCUAGAUGACGUUCCAAGCAUCAUGAAGCAGAGCUCCUUGCAGCUUCCCUCUGCCUGCUGGAUGGGACGCUCCCCGAUUCAGGAAUUGCUUAAAAAAGCCAAUUACAUCUUCACAUUCACUCGUAAUCUCUGUGCCCAGUGUGGGGCUUGAACUCUCAACCCCAAGAUCAAGAGUACCAUGCUGUACUGACUGAGCCAGCCAGGCGCUCCCAGCCAUAUGAAGGUUUACAGGAACUGCCACCCCCACUUGAGGCUGCUCAGGCUAGCCUGCUGGGGACACGUGACCCAUCCACUAGCAAGUGCCAACUGCCGUCUUAGACCAGCCAGCCGCAUUCAAGUCACUAGAUGACCACAGCCACGUGAGUGACCCCAAACAAAUGCAGCAGAGGAGCCGCCCGACUGAUCCCGACCCAACUGGUGACCCACACAACGAAGCCACUCAGAGUGAAGCCAUCUGGAUGGAGAGUACGCCCUGGGGAUUCCCAGUCCUGAGGUCUUCCUAGGUGCUCGGUGCCAAUUCAGGGUCCCACAGAAUGUCUUCUCCCUCCAUUUCUGGAGAUCCUGAGCUGCAUACGGAUGGGGCUGGGUGGGUGGAGAGACUCCUGGAUACCUGUUUAAAAACUUAAAAGGAGGAGCGUGAGAGCGAGAGUGGGGCUUGACUCACCACGCGGGGUUGGCCGGCCUUGACUUCGCUCGUCUCCUGUUAACGGCUCAUGGUCAAAAUAGUGGCAGGGCACGGUUACAGAAAAGCUCCCUCUUUGUCUGCUCAGACUCCAUAGAAAUCCUUGAUGUCGUGAAAGAUUAAAGCCAGUCCGCCGGUCCUCCAGGGGUGGAGAAUGGAACGCACUGCGGUCCUUGGUCUUCCGCGUGUCAAGCUGCGGUGACUGCAGACAGACAUGUGCAGAAGGAGGACGGAAGGGAAGCAAGGGUGACCAGUAUGUUCCCUUUGAAGGCCACAAAGGAUCGCAUUAUAAGCUUGCAGAGGCACUGGAUCGCUGUCUAGUCUGCAUUUACCGAAAUGUGAAACUUCCACGAGAAGAGGAGGAAAAAUCCCCCCGCUGUCUGAUAUUCUGCCUUGGAACGCUGUUAAGAACUACGUUCUAGGGGCGCCUGGGUGGCGCAGUCGGUUAAGCGUCCGACUUCAGCCAGGUCACGAUCUCGCGGUCCGUGAGUUCGAGCCCCGCGUCAGGCUCUGGGCUGAUGGCUCGGAGC